UACGUAGGGGGCAAGCGUUGUCCGGAUUUAUUGGGCGUAAAGAGCGUGUAGGUGGUUUGGUAGGUCCGUUGUGAAAACUCGAGGCUCAACCUCGAGACGCCGAUGGAAACCAUCAGACUAGAGUCCGGAAGAGGAGAGUGGAAUUCCUGGUGUAGCGGUGAAAUGCGCAGAUAUCAGGAGGAACACCGGUGGCGAAGGCGGGUCUCUGGGCCGAUACUGACGCUGAGGAGCGAAAGCGUGGGGAGCAAACAGG
Molecule: ribosomal RNA, 253 nt
Filed under: uncultured bacterium
Lineage: Bacteria
Description: partial 16S ribosomal RNA
Rfam family: Bacterial small subunit ribosomal RNA
Source: RNAcentral